RNAcentral lists this small nucleolar RNA (95 nucleotides) under Nadsonia fulvescens var. elongata DSM 6958. RNAcentral describes it as "Small nucleolar RNA snR57". It matches the Rfam family "Small nucleolar RNA snR57". From Rfam's summary of the family: snR57 is a member of the C/D class of snoRNA which contain the C (UGAUGA) and D (CUGA) box motifs. Most of the members of the box C/D family function in directing site-specific 2'-O-methylation of substrate RNAs. The record is from Rfam by way of RNAcentral. Lineage: Eukaryota; Fungi; Ascomycota; Dipodascomycetes; Dipodascales.
UUUUGAAUGAUUUAAUCAAUUGUUUUAUAACACCACUGAGGAUGUAUAUGCAGGACAUAAAAAUUUAAGGAAUUCUUCGUUUAUGACACUCGAGA